GAUGUCAGAAUCCUCAUCAGCUGA
RNAcentral lists this non-coding RNA (24 nucleotides) under Arabidopsis thaliana (thale cress). The record is from RNAcentral. Lineage: Eukaryota; Viridiplantae; Streptophyta; Magnoliopsida; Brassicales; Brassicaceae.